UGGAGGAAAGCAGGGGAUCGUAAGACCUUGCGCUUUUGGAGUGGCCGAUGCCUGAUUAGCUAGUUGGUGGGGUAAGAGCCUACCAAGGCGACGAUCAGUAGUUGGUCUGAGAGGACGACCAGCCACACUGGGACUGAGACACGGCCCAGACUCCUACGGGAGGCAGCAGUGGGGAAUUUCGGACAAUGGGCGGAAGCCUGAUCCAGCAAUGCCGCGUGAGUGAAGAAGGCCUUCGGGUUGUAAAGCUCUUUCAGUCGAGAAGAAAAGGUUGCGACUAAUAAUCGCAACUUAUGACGGUAUCGACAGAAGAAGCACCGGCUAACUACGUGCCAGCAGCCGCGGUAAUACGUAGGGUGCGAGCGUUAAUCGGAAUUACUGGGCGUAAAGGGUGCGCAGGCGGCUCUGUAAGUCAGAUGUGA
RNAcentral lists this ribosomal RNA (419 nucleotides) under uncultured ammonia-oxidizing beta proteobacterium. RNAcentral describes it as "bacterial SSU rRNA". It matches the Rfam family "Bacterial small subunit ribosomal RNA", at positions 197 to 597 of the family's 1533-position model. The record is from RNAcentral. Lineage: Bacteria; Pseudomonadati; Pseudomonadota; Betaproteobacteria.